This 423-nucleotide ribosomal RNA is filed under the name uncultured bacterium. RNAcentral describes it as "bacterial SSU rRNA". It matches the Rfam family "Bacterial small subunit ribosomal RNA", at positions 506 to 927 of the family's 1533-position model. The record is from RNAcentral.
GGCCAGCAGCCGCGGUAAUACGGAGGGUGCAAGCGUUAAUCGGAAUUACUGGGCGUAAAGCGUGCGUAGGCGGUGAUUUAAGUCAGAUGUGAAAGCCCCGGGCUUAACCUGGGAACUGCAUUUGAUACUGGGUCACUAGAGUUUGGUAGAGGGGAGUGGAAUUUCCGGUGUAGCGGUGAAAUGCGUAGAUAUCGGAAGGAACACCAGUGGCGAAGGCGGCUCUCUGGACCAAAACUGACGCUGAGGUACGAAAGCGUGGGUAGCAAACAGGAUUAGAUACCCUGGUAGUCCACGCCGUAAACGAUGUCAACUAGCCGUUGGAUCUGUCAAAAGAUUUAGUGGCGCAGCUAACGCAAUAAGUUGACCGCCUGGGGAGUACGGCCGCAAGGUUAAAACUCAAAUGAAUUGACGGGGGCCCGCACA